AUUCAAUUAAAAGUUAUUAUUUGGGGCUGUUAAGUGCUAUGUUGUCAUUCCCCCUGCUCAAAACAAUGUUGUUUUUUAACUAUGCCUAUCUGCUAGACACUUGUAGCAGCCAGGGACACUUGGUCUCAUACAU
RNAcentral lists this small nucleolar RNA (133 nucleotides) under Nannospalax galili (Upper Galilee mountains blind mole rat). Its description in RNAcentral is "Small nucleolar RNA SNORA63 (ENSNGAG00000004515.1)". Lineage: Eukaryota; Metazoa; Chordata; Mammalia; Rodentia; Spalacidae. The record is from RNAcentral.